GACGAACGCUGGCGGCGUGCUUAACACAUGCAAGUCGAACGGAAAGGCCCUGCUUUUGUGGGGUGCUCGAGUGGCGAACGGGUGAGUAACACGUGAGUAACCUGCCCUUGACUUUGGGAUAACUUCAGGAAACUGGGGCUAAUACCGGAUAGGAGCUCCUGCUGCAUGGUGGGGGUUGGAAAGUUUCGGCGGUUGGGGAUGGACUCGCGGCUUAUCAGCUUGUUGGUGGGGUAGUGGCUUACCAAGGCUUUGACGGGUAGCCGGCCUGAGAGGGUGACCGGCCACAUUGGGACUGAGAUACGGCCCAGACUCCUACGGGAGGCAGCAGUGGGGAAUAUUGCACAAUGGGCGGAAGCCUGAUGCAGCAACGCCGCGUGCGGGAUGACGGCCUUCGGGUUGUAAACCGCUUUCGCCAGUGACGUAGCGUGAGUGACGGUAAUGGGUAAAGAAGCACCGGCUAACUACGUG
This 468-nucleotide ribosomal RNA is filed under the name uncultured bacterium. RNAcentral's name for it is "partial 16S ribosomal RNA". It matches the Rfam family "Bacterial small subunit ribosomal RNA", at positions 28 to 507 of the family's 1533-position model. The record is from RNAcentral.